ACAAGCAGUGCUGUACUGGCACAAGUCACUGCAGCUGUUAAGCAAUACUUCCCUAACAUACCUUUUGCUGCUACAUCAGCUUUUGUAGCUACCUGGGACAGUGUGCCGUACCAUAAUGGUGGAGGGGUAAGACUUACCGUAAUCUUUGACUGGUAAUGAAUGGUCUGUCUUGUUGGUUUGGAAGGUGUUGAAUACUGUCUGUUGGUGUUUUGAAGGUGGUCACUUUCCAAGUGGUUUUAGCGUACAAUGUUCAUCGCUCUUUCAUCCUGAUCUAUUAUGGAGAUGUUUCAGAAACCACACAACCUUGGCAGGCUGGUUAUAACACUGUGGACUCUGGCAGUUCGUUUACAAUUCCAGCAGCACGUGUCCCCGAACUCUUGUCGAGCAGUAAUAUCAAUGUGACUUCUCGCUGGUCUUUCCAUGUUGAUGGGUCACCAAACCUGCCAGCUAAUUUCCUACCAUUUGGAAACGGAGAAAUAGUGACGCCCCGAUUGGAGAAUGGAAGCUCUGAAGCUAUUACAUUGCAGCAGCCGUUCAAGUUUUUUGGACGCACACACAACCAGAC
Molecule: long non-coding RNA, 565 nt
Organism: Onychostoma macrolepis
Lineage: Eukaryota; Metazoa; Chordata; Actinopteri; Cypriniformes; Cyprinidae
Exons: 3
Source: RefSeq, a predicted model, not a curated record